GACGAACCGUGCAAACGUUGUUCGGAAUCACUGGGCUUAAAGGGCGCGUAGGCGGGCUCCCAAGUCAGGGGUGAAAUCUUUCGGCUCAACCGGAAAAGUGCCCCUGAUACUGGGAGUCUGGAGGGAGGUAGGGGUCUGUGGAACUCUCGGUGGAGCGGUGAAAUGCGUAGAUAUCGGGAGGAACGCCGGUGGCGAAAGCGACGGACUGGACCUUCUCUGACGCUGAGGCGCGAAAGCUAGGGGAGCAAACGGG
This 253-nucleotide ribosomal RNA is filed under the name uncultured bacterium. RNAcentral describes it as "partial 16S ribosomal RNA". It matches the Rfam family "Bacterial small subunit ribosomal RNA", at positions 524 to 776 of the family's 1533-position model. The record is from RNAcentral.